This 861-nucleotide ribosomal RNA is filed under the name uncultured bacterium. Its description in RNAcentral is "bacterial SSU rRNA". It matches the Rfam family "Bacterial small subunit ribosomal RNA", at positions 22 to 906 of the family's 1533-position model. The record is from RNAcentral.
GCUCAGGAUGAACGCGGCGGGCGUGCUUAAUACAUGCAAGUCGAACGGGGAGGAGCAAUCCUCCGAGUGGCGAACGGGUGAGUAACACGUUGGUGACCUGCCCCGAAAUGUGGGAUACCAGGCCGAAAGGCUUGCUAAUACCGCAUAGGCUGUGAGGGUUUAGAAGCCUCACAGUAAAGGCGAAAGUCGUUUCGGGCGGGGCCUGCGGCCCAUCAGCUCGUUGGUAGGGUAACGGCCUACCAAGGCGAUGACGGGUAGGGGACCUGAGAGGGUGGCCCCCCACAAUGGAACUGAAACACGGUCCAUACACCUACGGGUGGCAGCAGUAGGGAAUAUUGCUUAAUGGGCGCAAGCCUGAAGCAGCAACGCCGCGUGUGCGAUGAAGGCCUUCGGGUUGUAAAGCACUUUUAGCAGGGAAAAGGAAGGAUGGUACCUGCUGAAUAAGCCUCGGCUAACUACGUGCCAGCAGCCGCGGUAAAACGUAGGAGGCGAGCGUUAUCCGGAUUUACUGGGUGUAAAGCGCGUGCAGGCGGUCUGUUAAGUGGGAUGUGAAAGCUCCCGGCUCAACUGGGAGAGGUCGUUGCAGACUGGCAGACUGGAGAGCAGGAGAGGAAGGUGGAAUUCCGGGUGUAGUGGUGAAAUGCGUAGAUAUCCGGAGGAACACCAGUGGCGAAAGCGGCCUUCUGGACUGCAUCUGACGCUCAGACGCGAAAGCUAGGGUAGCAAACGGGAUUAGAGACCCCGGUAGUCCUAGCCGUAAACGAUGUGAACUUGGCGCCGGGCGGGUAAAACCGAUCGGUGCCGUAGUAAACGCGAUAAGUUCACCACCUGGGGACUACGGCCGCAAGGUAAAACUCAAAU